Molecule: long non-coding RNA, 430 nt
Organism: Pseudophryne corroboree (corroboree frog)
Lineage: Eukaryota; Metazoa; Chordata; Amphibia; Anura; Myobatrachidae
Exons: 3
Source: RefSeq, a predicted model, not a curated record
CGGCAUUCCAUUAAGUGUCAGGAUUCCGGCAUAAGCAGUUUUAUAGCUGGGAUCCAGACCGCCAGGAUUCUGACCGGAUCCCAUUAUGUGCAACUUCCCAACUGCUCUCUUUAGAAGAGUAGCGCAGAAGUCACCAGUAUCUCCACUUGCGGCCAAUUGCUUAUAACCGGGUGACACAACUGGGAACUGGCGCUCAGCAUAAGCUUGCCGUGAGGUGGAAUUGCGUCCUAUAUAGAGGACAAUGGUGGGAAAACGAGGGAGAUUUUGCUGAGUAAAGUCAGGAAGAAGCCGCUGAGAAAUGCAGAACUGACCAUUUAUCAUAAUCUGUGUCCUGCAGGGAUUCCUCAGUAAUGUCUAGCUGAUGUUCUUAAAGGAAAUGCACCAGAUUACUUCCAUCGUCCAUUGUAUGAUGUUUAUUACUAUGAAGUAC